This 836-nucleotide ribosomal RNA is filed under the name uncultured bacterium. Its description in RNAcentral is "bacterial SSU rRNA". It matches the Rfam family "Bacterial small subunit ribosomal RNA", at positions 37 to 894 of the family's 1533-position model. The record is from RNAcentral.
CGUCCAAAUGCUUACACAUGCAGUCGAUUCAAGUUACUUUCGGGUAAUGAGGAUGGCGGACGGGUGAGUAACGCGUAAGGAACAUGCCUCUUGGACUGGGACAACUGUUGGAAACGACAGCUAAUACCGGAUAUUAUGAGAUUCUCGCAUGAGAAACUUAUGAAAGCUAUAUGCGCCAAGAGAGAGCCUUGCGUUCCAUUAGCUAGUUGGUGGGGUAACGGCCCACCAAGGCGACGAUGGAUAGCCGGCCUGAGAGGGUGAACGGCCACAAGGGGACUGAGACACGGCCCUUACUCCUACGGGAGGCAGCAGUGGGGAAUAUUGGACAAUGGGCCACAAGCCUGAUCCAGCAAUUCUGUGUGCACGAUGAAGGUCUUCGGAUUGUAAAGUGCUUUCAGUUGGGAAGAAGAAAGUGACGGUACCAACAGAAGAAGCGACGGCUAAAUACGUGCCAGCAGCCGCGGUAAUACGUAUGUCGCAAGCGUUAUCCGGAUUUAUUGGGCGUAAAGCGCGUCUAGGCGGAAAAAUAAGUCUGAUGUUAAAAUGCGGGGCUCAACUCCGUAUUGCGCUGGAAACUGUUUUUCUAGAGCACUGGAGAGGUGGGCGGAACUACAAGUGUAGAGGUGAAAUUCGUAGAUAUUUGUAGGAAUGCCGAUGGAGAAGUCAGCUCACUGGGACAGAUACUGACGCUGAAGCGCGAAAGCGUGGGGGAGCAAACAGGAUUAGAUACCCUGGUAGUCCACGCCGUAAACGAUGAUCACUAGGUGUUGGGGGUCGAACCUCAGCGCCCAAGCUAACGCGAUAAGUGAUCCGCCUGGGGAGUAUGCACGCAAGUG